CCUACGGGUGACAGCAGUCGAGAAUCAUUCACAAUGGGGGAAACCCUGAUGCUGCGACGCCGCGUGGAGGAAUGAAGUUCUUCGGUUUGUAAACCCCUGUCAUGUUGGAGCAAAUUAACAAGAUAGUACCACAAGAGGAAGAGACGGCUAACUCCGUGCCAGCAGCCGCGGUAAUACAGAGGUCUCAAGCGUUGUUCGGAAUCCCUGGGCGUAAAGCGUGCGUAGGCGGUUUCGUAAGUCGUUUGUGAAAGGCGGUGGCUCAAACCGAGGACGGCACAUGAUACUGAGAGACUAGAGUAAUGGAGGGGUAAGCGGAAGUCUUGGUGUAGCAGUGAAAUGCGUAGAUAUCGAGAGGAACACUCGUGGCGAAGGCGGGUUCCUGGACAUUAACUGACGCUGAUGCACGAAGGCCAGGGGAGCGAAAGGGAUUAGAUACCCCUGUAGUC
This 446-nucleotide ribosomal RNA is filed under the name uncultured bacterium. Its description in RNAcentral is "partial 16S ribosomal RNA". It matches the Rfam family "Bacterial small subunit ribosomal RNA", at positions 338 to 795 of the family's 1533-position model. The record is from RNAcentral.